This 448-nucleotide ribosomal RNA is filed under the name uncultured bacterium. RNAcentral's name for it is "partial 16S ribosomal RNA". It matches the Rfam family "Bacterial small subunit ribosomal RNA", at positions 328 to 793 of the family's 1533-position model. The record is from RNAcentral.
CUACCAGACUCCUACGGGAGGCAGCAGUGGGGGAUAUUGCACAAUGGGGGGAACCCUGAUGCAGCGACGCCGCGUGGGUGAAGAAGCGCCUCGGCGCGUAAAGCCCUGUCAGCAGGGAAGAAAAUGACGGUACCUGAAGAAGAAGCCACGGCUAACUACGUGCCAGCAGCCGCGGUAAUACGUAGGUGGCGAGCGUUAUCCGGAAUUACUGGGUGUAAAGGGUGUGUAGGCGGGAGUGCAAGUCAGACGUGAAAACUAUGGGCUCAACCCAUAACGUGCGUUUGAAACUGUGCUUCUUGAGAGUGGGAGAGGUAAACGGAAUUCCUGGUGUAGUAGUGAAAUGCGUAGAUAUCAGGAGGAACACCGGUGGCGAAGGCGGUUUACUGGACCACAACUGACGCUGAGACACGAAAGCGUGGGGAGCAAACAGGAUUAGAUACCCCAGUAU